AGCGAACGCUGGCGGCAGGCUUAACACAUGCAAGUCGAGCGGGCAUCCUUGUGGUGUCAGCGGCAGACGGGUGAGUAACGCGUGGGAACGUGCCCUUCGGUUCGGAAUAACUCAGGGAAACUUGAGCUAAUACCGGAUACGUGCGAGAGCAGAAAGGUUUAUCUGCCGAAGGAUCGGCCCGCGUCUGAUUAGCUAGUUGGUGAGGUUAUGGCUCACCAAGGCGACGAUCAGUAGCUGGUCUGAGAGGAUGAUCAGCCACACUGGGACUGAGACACGGCCCAGACUCCUACGGGGGGCAGCAGUGGGGAAUAUUGGACAAUGGGGGCAACCCUGAUACAGCCAUGCCGCGUGAGUGGUGACGGCCUUAGGGUUGUAAAGCUCUUUUCUCCGGGACGAUAAUGACGGUACCGGAGGAAUAAGCCCCGGCUAACUUCGUG
Molecule: ribosomal RNA, 437 nt
Filed under: uncultured bacterium
Lineage: Bacteria
Description: partial 16S ribosomal RNA
Rfam family: Bacterial small subunit ribosomal RNA
Source: RNAcentral